This 411-nucleotide long non-coding RNA is filed under the name Marmota monax (woodchuck). Lineage: Eukaryota; Metazoa; Chordata; Mammalia; Rodentia; Sciuridae. The record is from RNAcentral.
AAACUCCUGAGUCCCUGAUAUGCUUUGAAUGUCCAGUUUUAAAUACCAGUAAAGCUCCCCCUCCCUUUAUUGUUCACCCACCAUUCUGAGAAGCUGCCUGUCUGCUUUCUAGAUUUCAUGCCAUGAAGCAGCCAGGAAAGUGACCAUCUCUGUUCCAUCAUCUUGAAAAUCCCCCCUAAAUAACCUUUCUACUUCCUGGUUACCAUGUCUUAAGCUGCUUUCCUUUGCCAUACCUUUCUGCCAUGAUGUUCUUCCUCACUGUGGGCCCAGAGCUAUGGAGUCAACCCAUAUUGAACUGAACCUCUGAAACUGAGCUGGAAUAAACAUUUCUGCCUCUAUGUUGUUUUUGUCACAUGACAAAAAAGCUGCCUAAAACAGAAAUUGUUACUGAGAAGUGAGGUUGUUGCUGUG